Molecule: ribosomal RNA, 247 nt
Filed under: Salmonella enterica subsp. enterica serovar Cerro
Lineage: Bacteria; Pseudomonadati; Pseudomonadota; Gammaproteobacteria; Enterobacterales; Enterobacteriaceae
Description: partial 23S ribosomal RNA
Rfam family: Bacterial large subunit ribosomal RNA
Source: RNAcentral
GCGUAAUAGCUCACUGGUCGAGUCGGCCUGCGCGGAAGAUGUAACGGGGCUAAACCAUGCACCGAAGCUGCGGCAGCGACACUGUGUGUUGUUGGGUAGGGGAGCGUUCUGUAAGCCUGCGAAGGUGGCCUGUGAGGGUUGCUGGAGGUAUCAGAAGUGCGAAUGCUGACAUAAGUAACGAUAAAGCGGGUGAAAAGCCCGCUCGCCGGAAGACCAAGGGUUCCUGUCCAACGUUAAUCGGGGCAGG